This 440-nucleotide ribosomal RNA is filed under the name uncultured bacterium. RNAcentral describes it as "bacterial SSU rRNA". It matches the Rfam family "Bacterial small subunit ribosomal RNA", at positions 335 to 769 of the family's 1533-position model. The record is from RNAcentral.
ACUCCUACGGGAGGCAGCAGUAGGAAUCUUGGUCAAUGGGCGAAAGCCUGAACCAGCGAUGCCGCGUGUGUGAAGAAGGCCUUAGGGUUGUAAAGCACUUUCAGCAGUGAAGAAACCCGGUGGUUAAUACCUGCCGGAUUGAUCGUUAACUGCAGAAGAAGCACCGGCUAACUCCGUGCCAGCAGCCGCGGUAAUACGGAGGGUGCGAACGUUAAUCGGAAUUACUGGGCGUAAAGCGCGCGUAGGCGGUUUGAUAAGUGGGAUGUGAAAGCCCUGGGCUCAACCUAGGAACUGCAUUCCAAACUGUCAGGCUAGAGUAUGGUAGAGGGAGGUAGAAUUUCCUGUGUAGCGGUGAAAUGCGUAGAUAUAGGAAGGAAUACCGGUGGCGAAGGCGGCCUCCUGGACCAAUACUGACGCUGAGGUGCGAAAGCGUGGGGAGC